Molecule: unclassified non-coding RNA, 1867 nt
Filed under: uncultured fungus
Lineage: Eukaryota; Fungi
Description: sequence contains 18S rRNA gene, ITS1, 5.8S rRNA gene, ITS2, 28S rRNA gene
Rfam family: Eukaryotic large subunit ribosomal RNA (bases 740-1867)
Source: RNAcentral
GGAAGGAUCAUUACCAAAUCCAAAACUUUAUCAACCCCUAAUGUGCACUGAGAAUGGUUCCGUUCCCUGCCUCUUGGGGCCUGCUCCGGCAGGUGGGGAAUGUAUUUUUUACAAUAAAACACCUUUUCAACCAUUUUUAACCACGUUUAUGCUGAAAGCAAAACAAAAACGAAACAUGAGACAACUUUUAACGGUGGAUCUCUUGGCUCGUGCAUCGAUGAAGAACGCAGCAAACUGCGAUACGUAAUGUGAAUUGCAGAAUUCAGUGAAUCAUCGAAUCUUUGAACGCAUCUUGCGCUCUCAGGUAUUCCUGAGAGCAUGCCUGUUUGAGUGUCGCAAAUACCAUGUUCUUCGCUCAAGAAGUAAGAAAAACCCACAGCAGAAAAGAGUGGCUCCGGUUGCUCUUUCCUGUUGUUUUCUUGCUUCUUGUCCAGAAGGUGAUGGGCGUCUUGUCCAGGGACUUGCUUCUGCAAGUGAACAAUAAGGGCAAAGUCGUCUUAAAUGUGUAGAUCGAGUGGUUAAGUCCACAAGCCCCCUUUGCUUCCGUCAGGAAAGCCAAACAAUUUUCCAAGUCGAGAUGUUCCCGACCGCAAGGCUGGGUUUCUCUUGAUGUGGUAAGGUUAUUGAAACCAUUUUCAUCAAGUACAUCAAAACGUGCUUGGCGUGGAAAAUUGACUUGUGCCAAAAGGCUUGGUGCUUUCAGAUCCCCUUAAGGCUUGAUUGCCUUGACUCAACAUCGCGACCUCAAAUCAGACAAGAUUACCCGCUGAACUUAAGCAUAUUAAUAAGCGGAGGAAAAGAAACUAACAAGGAUUCCCAUAGUAACGGCGAGUGAAGUGGGAAGAGCUCAAAUUUGGAAUCUCCAGGGGCCAACUCUGGCGAAUUGUAGUCUCGAGAAGACUUUUCUGGUGUGGCUGCUGGUCUAAGUUCCUUGGAACAGGGCAUCAAAGAGGGUGAGAAUCCCGUAUUUGACUGCACAGCACAUGCCUAUACGUGAGUCUUUCAAAGAGUCGGGUUGUUUGGGAAUGCAGCCCAAAAUGGGUGGUAAAUUCCAUCUAAAGCUAAAUAUUUGCACGAGACCGAUAGCGAACAAGUACUGUGAAGGAAAGAUGAAAAGCACUUUGAAAAGAGAGUUAAGAGCACGUGAAACCGUUAAAGGGGAAGCGAUUGGAGCUAGCAGUGUGGCGGGGAUGAUCAACUUGUGGCAGGCUCGCCGACUUAUUCGUGUAGCGCAAGCACCGGGUAGGUCGUCAUGGGUUUGCUCGCGGGUGUACUCUUCCUCGUUGCAGGUCAACAUCGGUUUUCCGGUGUGGGUUAAAGCAGUCGGGGAGGUAACCAGCUUCGGCUGGUGUUAAAACCGAUUGUGCUACCGCGCCGAAGACCGAGGCAGGCUGCAGUGUGUGCCACUAGGCUGGGCCAGCUCUGCUUGGGUGGCCGCCUUGUUACGUACUACUUGUAGUGCGUGAUGGUGCGGUUGUCCAACGUGGGGUGACGUCACAAACACACUUCGGAUGUUGACGAAAUGGCUUCAACUGACCCGUCUUGAAACACGGACCAAGGAGUCUAACACAUACGCGAGUCUUAGGGUGGCAAACCCAGGAGGCGCAAUGAAAGUGAAGGCAGGCUUGGCUUGCUGAGGUGAGAGGGGGGUAACACCCUUGCAUCAUCGACCGAUCUGGAUAUUCUUUGAAAGAUUUGAGUAAGAGCGUAUCUGUUAGGACCCGAAAGAUGGUGAACUAUGCGUGAACAGGGUGAAGCCAGAGGAAACUCUGGUGGAGGCUCGUAGUGGUUCUGACGUGCAAAUCGAUCACAAAAUUUGCGCAUAGGGGCGAAAGACUAAUCGAACCAUCUAGUAGCUGGUUCCCAC